This 253-nucleotide ribosomal RNA is filed under the name uncultured bacterium. RNAcentral's name for it is "partial 16S ribosomal RNA". It matches the Rfam family "Bacterial small subunit ribosomal RNA", at positions 524 to 776 of the family's 1533-position model. The record is from RNAcentral.
GACAGAGGAGGCAAGCGUUGUUCGGAAUCAUUGGGCUUAAAGCGCGCGUAGGCGGCCUUGUAAGUGUCUUGUGAAAUCCCACGGCUCACCCGUGGAACUGCAGGGCAAACUGCAAGACUUGAGGUCGGUAGAGGCGCCUGGAACUCUAGGUGGAGCGGUGAAAUGCGUAGAUAUCUAGGGGAACGCCGGAGGCGAAAGCGGGGCGCUGGGCCGAUUCUGACGCUGAUGCGCGAAAGCGUGGGGAGCAAACAGG